RNAcentral lists this long non-coding RNA (1407 nucleotides) under Equus caballus (horse). RNAcentral describes it as "lncRNA (ENSECAG00000057274.1)". Lineage: Eukaryota; Metazoa; Chordata; Mammalia; Perissodactyla; Equidae. The record is from RNAcentral.
GGACAUCUUAUCCAUAUGGAUAAGAGAACUGGGGAAGAUAACUUCUUUAACCAGUAGGGAAAGGAGGAAGUCUUCCUGAAGCCUGAAUUCAAGAUCCUAAUAACAGUUCUGAUUUAUUGAUCUUAGGAAGUUCCAGAAUUGCUCCCUCUACUGUCUAUACCAUGAGGAUGUUUUCCUGAAAGAUAGAAUGGAGCUGCCUUCGUUGUCAAGAUUCAGGAUAGCCCCAACCAAGAUUAUUGCCAGAGAAAGAGAGAAACUCAUCAGGAGAAGGUGGAGUACAUACACUGGAUCACCGGGAGUAGCUGAAGGACCUGGAUGACCUGGAGGAAGGCACUUUGACCCAAGAUGAAGCUAAUGUGAUGAGCCACUCUGGCUCAACUAGGCUCGGAGAGAAAUAAGUUGAGAAUGUUGGAGUGCACUGAAGGUCUUCAUUUGGAAGUCCCAGUACGUAUCACCCUUUGACAAGAUUAGCUUUGGGGAAGAGGAAUGGCCUCACCUUGCAGGCUUGUUCAGAGACCUUUUUCUGGCAGUGGAAAAACAUCAUCUCUCAGGCCAAGAGGGACCAGGGAUAUCGCGCAGCCAUGAGAAACAGCGUAGUGAACUGACCAUACCCUUUGCUUGCUGUGUGGAACUGUGACUGAUUUCCCUUGGGCUAAGUUCCCAAGUUUCUUAGAGGAUUCAAAAGGUAGGAUGUGGGUCUCCUGCUAAUAAGGCUUAUAUGGGUUAGAACAAUUCAUUAGAAAAAAAUAUCAAAGGAAUGGAUUUUUGGAACAAGUCAUAACUUGUUAUACUCAAAUAUUAACAGAUAUUAUGUUAUACUCAGAUACCUGCGGAAUAUCUCCUUUUGGAUGCCCCCAGGCACAUCAAAACUCAAGUCCAACAUGGAGUUCAACAUCUUUCCCAUUAGCCAACAAUUUACUAUUUCUCCUCCAUUCUCUGUCUCCAUUUUUUUUUUCUACAUCAUCUUCCAAGGUGCCUGAAACGGAAAGCUUAUAGUCAUUCUAAGCGUUUCUUUCUUUGGAUAUUUCACAUCAAAUAAUCAUGAAUUAGCUGCUUUUAACCUCAAAUGUGUCUCAAAUCCAUUGUGUCUACUGUGUCCCUGUGGCUCCUGCUGCAGUGUGGUCCUCAUGAGGUUUUGGUCAGACCAUUGCAAUAAGGGGAUUCCAUAUCUCUAGCCUGGCAUGCUCCAUUUCAUUUUCCAUUUUGCUACUAGACAAUUACAUACUUUUCUUGAACAAAAAAAAAGAAAAGGCUUUCAGUGGCUUAACUAAUAUUUCUUUUAGGAUGAAGUCUCAAAUCCUUAGCAGAGUCCGCAAGUCCUUCUAUAAGCUCAAUUUUGCCUACUUCUACCACUAGACUAAGAUUUUUGAAGGAAGACUAAAUUUAUUGCUUUCUUUUAAAGUGCCC